UUUUUUUUGGAAGGUGGGGAGCAGGAGUGGAUAUUUAAAUAGAAGUCAGACUGUGCUUUGCUGCUAACCAAAGAACCCUGUUGAUACCAAAGGCUUCGAGGAUGGUGAAGGCCCAGAUUUCCAUCACACCAAAGAGGGUGCCUACAAAAUAUCCCAGUAAGAUGGAAUGGACAUAAGGAUACUGACAUAAGGAUCGUUUGUGUCGGAAGCCCAGAGGGCUAGGAUGCAGGAGAGGCCGAGCAGGUGUAUCCACCCAACCCUGGACUUCCAGAACCAAGAGCCAAAGCAAACCUCUUUUCCUUAUAAUCACUCAGUCUCAGCUUGUUGCUGCUGUUCAAGUCUUCUGUGGGAUGUUCAAACAGCCAUUACCAAAGGCCAUUCUUUCUUCCUGGUCAGAACAUGCAAUAAUACAUAGGUGCUCUAAAAGCAUGUGAAGGUGACAAUGUUCCAAAGAGUCUAGAACAAGGAUAAAAAAUGUCCAGCACCUGCCCUUUAAGACAACAAUGAUUCAGGCAGUGAUAUUAUGGGCAGUAGGCAAACAAGUAAAUAUUGAGGAAGAAUUGCCAUACAUUGAGCACCAUAUGGAGCCAGCCAUUCCAUGAAUUCUGUAGCAGAAGAGUAAGAAAAUUAGCUUUCACUCUGGAAGAAUCCCUUUGGUUGCAGUGGUGGGAGAUUGAAAGGAGACCAAACAGCAGUAUUUUGUGCUACAUUUGCAGAGGUACCUGGGAGCGGCAACCUUAGACCGCCAAUCAGCAUGCUCCCAGGGUACCUGGGAAUUGGUUCAGCAAAGCAAGAAGAACGCUUACCUGAGGAAGAGCCCCCCCUGCUCAGGCUGGAGUCUACCUGUUGGCCUCUCCCUUGGUUCCUCUGCCGUCAGCUGUACCUACAGCAGGUGAGCAGAACAGCUCCGUCACCCUGGGAGACUCCAACCCCCAGGGCUCCUCUGCCCGCCUUGGCUCUGUUCACCAGGCAGUGACUAAGCGUAGGUAGUGGAAAUCCUUCCAGAGCACUCUUCCUGCUGAGUUCCUGUGUUAGGUACUUAUUACACACUCUGGGUUCAGUAGAGUCUUUGCAGUAGAUUUUCAGCAUCAACAAAUAUGAGUCUGUUCGGUGACAUUUUCGAUCCCUUGUGCAAACUCAGAGAAGUCCCCAUGCAUGUGGCGUCUUUGCUGAGUGGGUCACCCCCCUGCACCUUCCAGCUGUACCGCAGGCCCAACCACCUCCCUCGGAGUAGCAUUGGUCAAUCUCUGGGUAUGUUGGCCAAGUGCUCAUGAAUUCCAGGAAAUAUGGCAAAGUUUAUGAGCAAAAUGGCCUAUGUUGGCUCAGAAAAAAAUGCAGAGCAUAGCCAUUGGACUCUUGGCUUCAGGUGGAUAUACUUUUGGGGGGCUCUGAAUACCUUAAUCUUAUUAGAUAUUAAUAGACCCUUCAAAUGGCUUAGCCCAGCAUUACUCAGCUUUGGCGCUACUGAGAUUCUGAGCCAGAUAAUUCUUUGUUGUGUGUUAGCGGGGAAUGGGGUAUAUCCUGUGUAUUUUAGGGAGUUUGGCGACAUCUCUGGCCUCUAUACACUAGAUGCCCGUGACUCCUCAUCUUGGUCACUUCUGAUAACCAAACAUGUCUCUAGACAUUUGGCAACUAUGCCUGGGGACAAAACUGCCCCU
Molecule: long non-coding RNA, 1658 nt
Organism: Marmota monax (woodchuck)
Lineage: Eukaryota; Metazoa; Chordata; Mammalia; Rodentia; Sciuridae
Exons: 6
Source: RefSeq, a predicted model, not a curated record